UGAGCGUGUGCGUAGAGCUUGUGCUAAUAGUUGUGCUGAUUUUCUUUAUGGUUUUCGAGAGACUUCUUCAAAGAAAGGAGCAGAGUAUUGGCUUCUUUGGCGUUUCGAAGGGGAAGCUACACUUGCUGAUUUGAUGCAGAGUAGAGACUUUCCCUACAAUGUAGAAUCAUUGAUCCUUCGAGAGGUUCAGGACUUGCCCAAAGGUUUGGAUAGAGAAAA
RNAcentral lists this unclassified non-coding RNA (219 nucleotides) under Hevea brasiliensis (rubber tree). The record is from RNAcentral. Lineage: Eukaryota; Viridiplantae; Streptophyta; Magnoliopsida; Malpighiales; Euphorbiaceae.